This 391-nucleotide ribosomal RNA is filed under the name uncultured bacterium. Its description in RNAcentral is "bacterial SSU rRNA". It matches the Rfam family "Bacterial small subunit ribosomal RNA", at positions 28 to 418 of the family's 1533-position model. The record is from RNAcentral.
GACGAACGCUGGCGGCGUGCUUAACACAUGCAAGUCGAGCGGUAAGGCCCUUUCGGGGGUACGACGAGCGGCGAACGGGUGAGUAACACGUGGGUGACCUGCCCUCAGCUCUGGGAUAAGCCUGGGAAACCGGGUCUAAUACUGGAUAUGACUCCAUGACGCAUGUUGUGGGGUGGAAAGCCUCGUGCGGCUGAGGAUGGGCCCGCGGCCUAUCAGCUUGUUGGUGGGGUGANGGCCUACCAAGGCGACGACGGGUAGCCGGCCUGAGAGGGCGACCGGCCACACUGGGACUGAGACACGGCCCAGACUCCUACGGGAGGCAGCAGUGGGGAAGUCUUGCGCAAUGGGCGAAAGCCUGACGCAGCGACGCCGCGUGAGGGAUGACGGCCUC